RNAcentral lists this RNase P RNA (419 nucleotides) under Holophagales bacterium. RNAcentral describes it as "RNase P RNA component class A". It matches the Rfam family "Bacterial RNase P class A". Rfam says of the family: Ribonuclease P (RNase P) is a ubiquitous endoribonuclease, found in archaea, bacteria and eukarya as well as chloroplasts and mitochondria. Its best characterised activity is the generation of mature 5'-ends of tRNAs by cleaving the 5'-leader elements of precursor-tRNAs. Cellular RNase Ps are ribonucleoproteins. The record is from RNAcentral. Lineage: Bacteria; Pseudomonadati; Acidobacteriota; Holophagae; Holophagales.
UGUGUGGGCUGGGGCGCCGCUGUAUUCAGAUUUAUUAAUGCAGAGGAAAGUCCGGACUCCGAAAAAAUCUUCAGGGCCGAGGCCCUGAAGGCGGGUGCCAGGCCAGCUAACGGCUGGGCGGAGUGAUCCGACGGAAAGCGCAACAGAAAAUAUACCGCCCGUGGUCGCUCUUAACGCGAGUAAGGGUGAAAGCGCGGGUAAGGGUGAAAUGGUGGGGUAAGGGCCCACCGCUGCGUCGGUAACGGCGCAGGCACGGCAAGCCCCCUGGGGAGCAAGACCAAAUAGGCCGACGUACCCUGCAAGGGGUGGAAGAUUGACCCGGUCGAGUCGGCGGGUAGGUUGCCAGAGGCGGCAGGCGACUGCCGUCCCAGAUGAAUGGCGUUCUUUAACAGAAUCCGGCUUACAGGCUCACCUUAAAG